Triticum aestivum (bread wheat) is the source of this 1511-nucleotide RNA transcript. RefSeq lists it as uncharacterized. Lineage: Eukaryota; Viridiplantae; Streptophyta; Magnoliopsida; Poales; Poaceae. The record is from RefSeq and is a predicted model, not a curated record. The transcript is spliced from 6 exons.
AACCGCGGCGGUGCCCAGCUCCUCCCCUCCUCCUCCCGCUCCUCCACAUCCUCCUCGCCACCACCGCCGGCACGCUCCUCGCGGUGCGUCGGGCGCGGGUAGUCAAAUCUCCUCCUCCGUGCCACGCAACCCAGCGACACGCCCAACCCCAAUAUAGGAGGCGGCCCUCUCUCAGAUCCCUCCCUUUCUCUCUUCCCUUCGUCUCGCUUUCCGCCUCCGAUUCCCCAAUCUCUUGGGAGGGCGAUGCGGUGGAAACUCGGCACUGCGGCGUAUCAAGCGCGUGCCGUCCCGGGACGCCGCCAUGGACCCCGACCUCGAGACGCCAGAUCCGGCAGCAGAGAAGACGCCCGAGGGAGGAGGAGGAGCAGGAGCAGCAUGCCCAUUGUGGCGCAGGUCGCUGCCGCACGUGUGCGUCACCACGGUCACCUCCUUCCUCUUCGGCUACCACACAGGAGUGGUGAACGAGCCGCUCGAGAGCAUCUCCACCGACCUCGGAGGUCGGGUGCGGGGAGUCGCUGUCGCCGUCGAUGACGCGGUUCGGGAUUGCCGCGUGCUUCAACGCCACAUCGUCGGCCGCCGGCGCCAACGCCGCGUUGGGCGUCGUCCAUGCGGUGCCGCCGACCGAGCCUGUCGUGUCCGCCGAGUGGCUGCACGCCAACCUCAGGGACCCCGAUGUGAAGGUACUUGAUGCCUCUUGGUCAGAAGAUGAUGGCGAGUUCCUCAUUCCAAUUGAGUUUAUAUUGUGUAGGUUUCUUCGUCAUGAUCUGGAUUGCCGCAGUCAUGUUCAAGUCCAAUGAUAUCUUGCGCAAGCAGACCGCUCUCAGGGUUGGUGCUUCAUAAUAACUUGUCUAUCAACGUGCUUCUUCUGCUUCUAGAGUGGGAGAGGAAAAUGCCAAUGCUUAUCGGGAUUGUAGUACUAUUCACCAUUCACGUGUUUGGAGUCUACUGGUGGUACAUGAAUGAUGACCUUGUUAGACCGUUGGUGAUGCUUCCUCCAAAAGAAAUACCACCAUUCUGGCAUGCUAUAUUUUUCAUUGCGGUGAAUGAUACAAUGGUUCGGCAAGCUGCUAUGGUGGUCAAGUGUGUGCUUCUCAUGUACUACGUCGAAUAUCUCAAGCGACCUUGCCCUAUUUUAUGUCGAAUAUCUCAAGCGACAAAAUUUGCUCUCAAUGUACUGUUGCAGGAUCUGGAUAUCUCUGAAAAUUUAGUACUUUCUGGUGUUGAUCUCAAGUGUUGGCUCCUACAGCAUUGCAUUUCACCAAGUGAAAUGCUACAUUUCUACUCCUAACCCAUUUUCUCUUUCUUAGUGUUUUUGUUAUGCAGGUUGGAAGAAAAGAAGAUCCAAAGAAAAUCUUAGUAAUAAGAUAGUUUUUAGGAAAAUAGAUAUUUAAUUUUAGGUCAUUUCUUGUAAUUUCAGAUAUGGAGUGCUUGUCUUUAGUUUUUGUUUUGACUUUGUGAAACUUGCUAACUAUGGAUGAAACUGUGUAAUAUUGAUGAAACUAUGUAUAUGU